GCUAUGACCAUGAUUACGCCAAGCUAUUUAGGUGACACUAUAGAAUACUCAAGCUAUGCAUCCAACGCGUUGGGAGCUCUCCCAUAUGGUCGACCUGCAGGCGGCCGCACUAGUGAUUGUAGUCAUAUGCUUGUCUCAAAGAUUAAGCCAUGCAUGUCUAAGUAUAAACAAAUUCAUACUGUGAAACUGCGAAUGGCUCAUUAAAUCAGUUAUAGUUUAUUUGAUGGUAACUUGCUACAUGGAUAACUGUGGUAAUUCUAGAGCUAAUACAUGCUGAAAAGCCCCGACUUCUGGAAGGGGUGUAUUUAUUAGAUAAAAAACCAAUGGGUGAAAGCCCUUCAUGGUGAUUCAUAAUAACUUCUCGAAUCGCAUGGCCUUGCGCCGGCGAUGCUUCAUUCAAAUAUCUGCCCUAUCAACUUUCGAUGGUAGAGUAGUGGUCUACCAUGGUAUCAACGGGUAACGGGGAAUUAGGGUUCGAUUCCGGAGAGGGAGCCUGAGAAACGGCUACCACAUCCAAGGAAG
This 522-nucleotide ribosomal RNA is filed under the name uncultured Basidiomycota. Its description in RNAcentral is "partial 18S ribosomal RNA". The stretch from base 108 to 522 matches the Rfam family "Eukaryotic small subunit ribosomal RNA", at positions 1 to 424 of the family's 1831-position model. Lineage: Eukaryota; Fungi; Basidiomycota. The record is from RNAcentral.